GAUGAAGAACGUAGCGAAAUGCGAUAAGUAGUGUGAAUUGCAGAAUUCAGUGAAUCAUCGAAUCUUUGAACGCACAUUGCGCCCCUUGGUAUUCCAUGGGGCAUGCCUGUUCGAGCGUCAUUUCAACCCUCGACCUCCCUUUGGGGAAGUCGGCGUUGGGGACCGGCAGCACACCGCCGGCCCUGAAAUGGAGUGGCGGCCCGUCCGCGGCGACCUCUGCGUAGUAAUCCAACUCGCACCGGAACCCCGACGCGGCCACGCCGUAAAACACCCAACUUCUGAACGUUGACCUCGAAUCAGGUAGGACUACCCGCUGAACUUAAGCAUAUCAAUAAGCGGAGGA
This 343-nucleotide unclassified non-coding RNA is filed under the name soil metagenome. RNAcentral's name for it is "partial contains 5.8S ribosomal RNA, internal transcribed spacer 2, and large subunit ribosomal RNA". The stretch from base 1 to 120 matches the Rfam family "5.8S ribosomal RNA", at positions 35 to 154 of the family's 154-position model. The record is from RNAcentral.